This is a long non-coding RNA of Malaclemys terrapin pileata, 354 nucleotides long. RefSeq lists it as uncharacterized. The record is from RefSeq and is a predicted model, not a curated record. Lineage: Eukaryota; Metazoa; Chordata; Testudines; Emydidae. The transcript has 3 exons.
CAGAGCCCUGGAGAGGGUCCCCCAGCGCUGGAAGCGGGUGUGCGCUCCCGCUGCACAGGGCACCGGCCGCUCCCGCAACGCCGGCACGGUGGGACCAUUUGCAGUUACCUGAACUAGAAUGAAACCUUUUCAGUUGGUUACAUUUUCUAACAGACUGUUGAGGAGGUAAUUUCCCAAAUCCAUGUCCACGUCUGUCAGAAAUCCAGACUAAAUGGAGACAGUGAACCUUUUAGAACCAAGCUGGAGGAACACUACUGCGCUCAGUCUAACUACUAUACCAAUAGACACUGGUAAAAUUUCCUAAUUUUAGAGAAAAGCACAAUACUAAAGUUUUCUAAGCAAAGAGAAAAGAUU